This 253-nucleotide ribosomal RNA is filed under the name uncultured Novosphingobium sp. RNAcentral describes it as "partial 16S ribosomal RNA". It matches the Rfam family "Bacterial small subunit ribosomal RNA", at positions 524 to 776 of the family's 1533-position model. Lineage: Bacteria; Pseudomonadati; Pseudomonadota; Alphaproteobacteria; Sphingomonadales; Sphingomonadaceae. The record is from RNAcentral.
UACGGAGGGAGCUAGCGUUGUUCGGAAUUACUGGGCGUAAAGCGCACGUAGGCGGUCAGCCAAGUCAGAGGUGAAAGCCCGGAGCUCAACUUCGGAACUGCCUUUGAAACUAUCUGACUAGAAUUCUGGAGAGGCGGGUGGAAUUCCGAGUGUAGAGGUGAAAUUCGUAGAUAUUCGGAAGAACGCCAGUGGCGAAGGCGGCCCGCUGGACAGACAUUGACGCUGAGGUGCGAAAGCGUGGGGAGCAAACAGG